RNAcentral lists this transfer RNA (72 nucleotides) under Camelus bactrianus (Bactrian camel). It matches the Rfam family "tRNA". From Rfam's summary of the family: Transfer RNA (tRNA) molecules are approximately 80 nucleotides in length. Their secondary structure includes four short double-helical elements and three loops (D, anti-codon, and T loops). Further hydrogen bonds mediate the characteristic L-shaped molecular structure. tRNAs have two regions of fundamental functional importance: the anti-codon, which is responsible for specific mRNA codon recognition, and the 3' end, to which the tRNAs corresponding amino acid is attached (by aminoacyl-tRNA synthetases). tRNAs cope with the degeneracy of the genetic code in two manners: having more than one tRNA (with a specific anti-codon) for a particular amino acid; and 'wobble' base-pairing, i.e. permitting non-standard base-pairing at the 3rd anti-codon position. Lineage: Eukaryota; Metazoa; Chordata; Mammalia; Artiodactyla; Camelidae. RNAcentral also lists the same sequence under 1 other name. The record is from Rfam by way of RNAcentral.
GAGGGUAUAGCUCAGAGGUAGAGUGCAUGCCUAGUAGGCGCAAGGUCCUGGGUUCAAUCCCUAGUGCCUCCG